RNAcentral lists this ribosomal RNA (483 nucleotides) under uncultured bacterium. RNAcentral's name for it is "bacterial SSU rRNA". It matches the Rfam family "Bacterial small subunit ribosomal RNA", at positions 501 to 986 of the family's 1533-position model. The record is from RNAcentral.
CUACGUGCCAGCAGCCGCGGUAAUACGGAAGGUCCGGGCGUUAUCCGGAAUUAUUGGGUUUAAAGGGAGCGCAGGCGGGAGUAUAAGUCAGCUGUUAAAUAUCAGGGCCCAACUCUGUUAUGCAGUUGAAACUAUAUUUCUUGAGUACGCACAGGGAUGGCGGAAUUCAGGGUGUAGCGGUGAAAUGCUUAGAUAUCCUGAAGAACUCCGAUCGCGAAGGCAGCCAUCCGGAGCGUAACUGACGCUGAGGCUCGAAGGUGCGGGUAUCGAACAGGAUUAGAUACCCUGGUAGUCCGCACGGUAAACGAUGAAUACUCGCAGUUCGGUCAUUAUGAUUGAGUUGUCCAGCGAAAGCGUUAAGUAUUUCACCUGGGGAGUACGCCGGCAACGGUGAAACUCAAAGGAAUUGACGGGGGCCCGCACAAGCGGAGGAACAUGUGGUUUAAUUCGAUGAUACGCGAGGAACCUUACCCGGGCUUGAAC